GACGAACGCUGGCGGCGUGCUUAACACAUGCAAGUCGAACGGAAAGGCCCUGCUUGCAGGGUACUCGAGUGGCGAACGGGUGAGUAACACGUGGGUGAUCUGCCCUGCACUUCGGGAUAAGCCUGGGAAACUGGGUCUAAUACCGGAUAGGAGCCAUUUUUAGUGUGAUGGUUGGAAAGUUUUUUCGGUGUAGGAUGAGCUCGCGGCCUAUCAGCUUGUUGGUGGGGUAAUGGCCUACCAAGGCGGCGACGGGUAGCCGGCCUGAGAGGGUGGACGGCCACAUUGGGACUGAGAUACGGCCCAGACUCCUACGGGAGGCAGCAGUGGGGAAUAUUGCACAAUGGGGGCAAGCCUGAUGCAGCGACGCCGCGUGGGGGAUGACGGCCUUCGGGUUGUAAACUCCUUUCGCUAGGGACGAAGCUUUUUGUGACGGUACCUAGAUAAGAAGCACCGGCUAACUACGUG
This 465-nucleotide ribosomal RNA is filed under the name uncultured bacterium. RNAcentral's name for it is "partial 16S ribosomal RNA". It matches the Rfam family "Bacterial small subunit ribosomal RNA", at positions 28 to 507 of the family's 1533-position model. The record is from RNAcentral.